ACCACUUAUUACUUCUCACUUCCUAUGCAGCUCCUGAGUUUCCUGCACUGGCGGCAAGUUUUGAUAGUCACUGAACUACCGCAGUGGGAAGGGGAAGGCAAAACCACUGGCUGUCUGCAAGUCUGGGAGAGCAAGGGGUUGACUGGAAGGAAAAGGAUGGGCGAGUAACACUGGGCAGCAUUCGCAGCGGUUAGCAGAGAGGGACGAGUGGCUCGGCACAAGGCUUCUGUCAGAGUAAGUGAAGCAGAGACAAUCCUUUGGAGAGCAACAACUCGCUUGCUCCUGGCGGCUUAAAGUUUUAAGGACCCAGCUCGUUCCUUGUGAGCCUGCCCUGGAUUGAAGGAAAAAGAAAGCACAGGCAGUUAGGGACCUGGGACGCGUCUGGGAUAGUACCAAGGAUGCUGUGUUUCCUGACAGCAUGAAGGGACAAAGGUCUGGGAAAUGUCUAGCCCUUUGCAUGCUGGCUUGGAGUUGCCUCCACUUUGCCUGGAGUGAUGCCAUCAGUUCCGGGGCCACCUUCACUGGAGCUGGAAGUAUCGGAAGGGGCUUCCCGAGCGACGUCACCAAUAGAACCGCUGUCCAUGGCAACCUUUCAGGGGAGAUUCCUCUGUGCUACUCUGACUUCUCCCUCCACCCCAUGAUGACCAACCCAUUGGUCAAAGAGGUCUGAACGGAGCAUCCUCAAGAGCUUGUUAACGCUGCUAUGAACAUCCAGUCACCCAAGAGCACCAGAAGGCGCUCUGAACGUCAAGGGGAGGAGCACGCUGCCUCCCCUACACUUCCCGCCUAUGUCAUACUGAUGAACUCAUCUAUUCUUCUCCUGAUCUUAACCUUUGUCAUCAAGGGCUGAGGCCAGACACUAUGAACAUGAGUUCAGUGUGUGACGCUCCUCCCUCCACCUUACGGAUCCUAUGACAUCGAGAAGGGCACUGGCCUCUCCCUGGGCUCAGUCAUUGUGUACUGGUGCAGAGAGGGGUAUCAACUGGUGGGCAGCGAGAAGCUGGCCUGCCUCCUCCGAGACAGCACCUCUUACUGGAGUCACCCAGCACCUCACUGCGAGGCCAUCCCAAAGCCCCUUGACAAAGGGUUCCGGGUAGCAGUCAUAGCCUCUCUCAUCAGCGGCGUGAUCAUUCUGACCAUGUCUGUCUCCUUCGCUGCGUGCUGCUUGCGAGACAGGCUACUGAGAAACAGCGCACAGCAGCUGAACACCAGGGAGGAGCAACAGCAGGGCAGGACGUGCCGGGGUGCAAGGCAAGCUGAUUCCACUAACAAGGAAAUGGAGAAGCAACAAGGAGCUUUUGGGAAACUGAAGCACCAUCACAGGCUUGAUUACCGCAUCUCCGCCCUCCGUAGUUCUGUAUACCCUGGGGCACUUGCAGGGUGCAGUAACCAGGGAUUCCAAAGGAGUCAGGAGAAUUCACACCAGCCGUCCAUGCAAAGCUUAUGCUCUGAAAUCCACGUCUUCCCACAAGUGGUUCUGCGGCCGGGUGCAACACCAUCUGCCUCUUCUAUGUACAUUCAUUUCCCCCAGAAGCCAGGAGAUAUCUCCCUGGCUAUAAUGCCUUAUCAUGCCAACUCCCCCAGAGACAUACCCACAGCCUACUACAGAGGAUAUGAAGAACAUAAGCCCUUAAGCCUGUAUUGAUAAUGAUCAGCUUACAAUUUUAAGCCAUUACCCAAUUCCUUAUUAACACCAAUUCCUUGGAAGUCUCCCAAGCUCAGCAAGGAGAGGCAUAUGAUAGAAUCAGUGUGACUGGAUUUUCAAGCGGUUAUUGCAAACAGGUGGAAAAGAGUGACAUUUCAUGUUGAAAGUA
RNA transcript from Chelonia mydas (Green sea turtle), 1814 nucleotides. It is a transcript of the gene named sushi domain-containing protein 3, with no coding region annotated. The record is from RefSeq and is a predicted model, not a curated record. NCBI's taxonomy places the organism in Eukaryota, Metazoa, Chordata, Testudines, Cheloniidae. The transcript is spliced from 6 exons.